Sarcophilus harrisii (Tasmanian devil) is the source of this 530-nucleotide long non-coding RNA. RefSeq lists it as uncharacterized. Lineage: Eukaryota; Metazoa; Chordata; Mammalia; Dasyuromorphia; Dasyuridae. The transcript is spliced from 6 exons. The record is from RefSeq and is a predicted model, not a curated record.
AAUUAGCAUAUCAUUAACGGCAGAAUUUAAAUAGCUCUGAGAUACCAUGAAUCCCAUCCUCCUUUGAAAGAAGAUUUCUUCUUCCAGUCAUCUGUCUUAGGAGCCUACAGCCAUGAAGCUCUAUCUUAUAGCUUUUCUGGUGGCUUUUCUGCUUGCCCUGGCAAGAGCUGACAGUUCAUCUGAAGAGGACAGUUUUCGGCACCGAAGACCUCGGUGGUAUCCAGAAUAUCCUCAGUUUCCUAGAUAUCUUCCAGGUUAUCCAUAUCCUGAUCCUCCCUAUAAUCCAUAUCUUGGAUAUCCUGAAAAUGCUCCAAUUGCACCAUAAGGACCUCAAUAAACAGUGGCCUACCUGGAUGACAGACUCAAUCUAUCUAUGAACCUACAAAUCUACAAAUUUGUGAAUCUCUCCAAUUAUCUACUUGUGCAUUAGAUAGUAGCACUAAGAUUGUUAGAUCAACAUGAAUCAUUACCACACAGAACUAAUACUCUUCUUAACAUUCUCCAAAUAAUAAACACAACUUAUAGCAUAG